GUCAGUGUUAUAAUGGUGAAUCGGGAUUUUUAAUAAAGUGGGUUUGAUUACUCUUGACUGUUUUUGUGAAAUUGAAUUACGUCUGUGAUGAAGAAUUAAAAGGAUGUCUAUAGGAUUGAGUAUGCGGAGUGAAUGAAAUUUAUUGGGUUAAUCUAACAAGACAAUUAGUGGAUACAAGAUCGUGAGUAUAAAGCGGUAUCAAAGAUUAGCAGUUUGGAUUGUUCGGGGUUCUCUGUAACGUCUAGAGACCUAUCGGCUGGGGCAAAAAGGACUUCGACAAGUAGUCGAAGGGCAUCCGUAUAGAUUUACGGUGUAUUCUUGCAGUCGUUUAUAUU
Molecule: long non-coding RNA, 335 nt
Filed under: Physcomitrium patens
Lineage: Eukaryota; Viridiplantae; Streptophyta; Bryopsida; Funariales; Funariaceae
Description: long non-coding RNA (PPAT_LNC003518)
Source: RNAcentral